Molecule: ribosomal RNA, 1568 nt
Filed under: metagenome
Description: SSU rRNA
Rfam family: Eukaryotic small subunit ribosomal RNA
Source: RNAcentral
GGCGAUGAUUCAUUCAAAUUUCUGCCCUAUCAACUUUCGAUGGUAGUGUAGUGGACUACCAUGGUGAUAACGGGUAACGGAGAACCUGGGUUCGGUUCCGGAGAGGGAGCCUGAGAGAUGGCUACCACUUCCAAGGAAGGCAGCAGGCGCGCAAAUUACCCGAUAGCGAUAUGCUGAGGUAGUGACAAUAAAUAACAAUACGGGUCCUGACAAAGGUCUCGUAAUUGGAAUGAGCACAAUUUAAAUCCCUUAACGAGGAACAAUUGGAGGACAAGUCUGGUGCCAGCACCCGCGGUAAUUCCAGCUCCAAUAGCGUAUAUUAAAGUUGUUGCAGUUAAAAAGCUCGUAGUUGGAUUUUGGGGUUUAGUGGGUCCGGUCUGCCGGGAAGGUGUGUACUGGCUCACUUGCCUCUAUUCUCAGGCACUGGUCACUGUUCUUAACUGAGUGGGGACUAGGCUCUGGGACGUUUACUUUGAAAAAAUUAGAGUGUUUAAAGCAGGCAGCUUUGGCCUUGAAUACAUUAGCAUGGGAUAAUAGAAUAGGGCUCAGGCUCUAUUUUGUUGGUUUAAAGGGCCUUUGCAAUGAUUAAUAGAGAUAGUUGGGGGUAUUCAUAUUUAAUUGUCAGAGGUGAAAUUCUUGGAUUUAUGAAAGAUGAACUUCUGCGAAAGCAUUUAUCAAGGAUGUUUUCAUUGAUCAAGAACGAAAGUUAGGGGAUCGAAGACGAUCAGAUACCGUCGUAGUCUUAACCAUAAACUAUGCCGACCAGAGAUUGAGAGACGUUACUUGGAUGACUCCCCCAGCACCUUGAGAGAAAUCAUAAGUCUUUGGGUUCCGGGGGGAGUAUGGUCGCAAGGCUGAAACUUAAAGGAAUUGACGGAAGGGCACACCAGGAGUGGAGCCUGCGGCUUAAUUUGACCCAACACGGGGAAACUUACCAGGUCCAGACACAGUAAGGAUUGACAGAUUGAGAGCUCUUUCUUGAUUCUGUGGGUGGUGGUGCAUGGCCGUUCUUAGUUGGUGGAGUGAUUUGUCUGGUUAAUUCCGUUAACGAACGAGACCUCAACCUAUUAAAUAGUUGCUUAAACCGUCUAACAGGUGAAGCUCGUGGGUGGUGCGGUGGCCUUGGUCGCUGUGCCCUCGCGGGUGGAUCCUUGAUGAGUUUGUGGUGGCUUCUUAGAGGGACUACUAGGGUCUACCUAGUGGAAGUGAGGCAAUAACAGGUCUGUGAUGCCCUUAGAUGUCUUGGGCCGCACGCGCGCUACACUGAUGGGUACAUCGAGUUUUUAACAGGAUUGAUGAGUCUGGUUAAUCUUAAAGUACCUAUCGUGCUGGGGAUAGAUCAUUGCAAUUAUUGAUCUUCAACGAGGAAUUCCUAGUAAGCGCAAGUCAUCAACUUGCGCUGAUUACGUCCCUGCCCUUUGUACACACCGCCCGUCGCUCCUACCGAUUGAAUGGUCCGGUGAAAACUCCGGAUGGUGAUGGUUAGCUUUUGGGGCAACUCGAUUGCGCCGUUGUCAGAAGUUGUUUAAACCUUAUCAUUUAGAGGAAGGAGAAGUCGUAACAAGGUC